Molecule: ribosomal RNA, 395 nt
Filed under: Bacillus sp. B8
Lineage: Bacteria; Bacillati; Bacillota; Bacilli; Caryophanales; Bacillaceae
Description: bacterial SSU rRNA
Rfam family: Bacterial small subunit ribosomal RNA
Source: RNAcentral
UCUGACGGAGCAACGCCGCGUGAGUGAUGAAGGCUUUCGGGUCGUAAAACUCUGUUGUUAGGGAAGAACAAGUACGAGAGUAACUGCUCGUACCUUGACGGUACCUAACCAGAAAGCCACGGCUAACUACGUGCCAGCAGCCGCGGUAAUACGUAGGUGGCAAGCGUUAUCCGGAAUUAUUGGGCGUAAAGCGCGCGCAGGCGGUUUCUUAAGUCUGAUGUGAAAGCCCACGGCUCAACCGUGGAGGGUCAUUGGAAACUGGGGAACUUGAGUGCAGAAGAGAAAAGCGGAAUUCCACGUGUAGCGGUGAAAUGCGUAGAGAUGUGGAGGAACACCAGUGGCGAAGGCGGCUUUUUGGUCUGUAACUGACGCUGAGGCGCGAAAGCGUGGGGAGC